GUGCUCCUUUUAACUAUGGGGAGCUAGAUUGAGGGGAUAGAGGUAGGGUGUGGAUAUUGAUUUUGAAGAUGAAGAAGAUAUUCAUUUUGGAGACAAGCUGGGGAAUCAGCCCACUUAAUGCACAGCCAAAUCUAAACCUGCACGCUGCUGCCAUUGCGCUCUCUAGGCACAUGAAGCCAAGACAAAACUUCCCCAGAUUCAAGGGAAGUGUGCAAGGAAGGUAGUUUUGGAAUGGAAAGAUCCUGGGUGGGGACCUAGCACUCCGGAGGAGCUUGUGAAAUCUGCUUAGUACUUAGUACCCGGGCAACCCCGCUGGAGGGCCAGAACAAAGCAUCCCACACAGCUUGGUGGUGUUUAUUUUGUGGUGGUUCCGAGGCCCCAGAUCUCUAGAGCCCAGGGCCUGAACUUUAAGACCCUCCCUUUCUCCCCACCCACUCUGCAAAACAAGUUCAAGUGACUCUCCGUGGCAACACGUUUCUUUCCAUUAGGGUCUGAUCUCCCCUGUGCUGGCGGGGGUAGUAACAGAAGGUCUGUUCCGCACCUGCGACCUCGGAGUCAAAGUGAAGUGUCCUCUGCUGCCCACCCCUUCUUCACCCCACUAGCAACAGCUGCAGCAGAAAGGCUCUCAGUCCUUUAAAACCAGUCGCAGAUGCAGUUGAAUUGUGUGCCUGUCUUUGAUUUUAGUUUCUUCCAAAGAUCUUGCUUUGGGGUCCUGCCCCUUAGGUCCAAAUGCCACAGACAGUGGCCAGAUGACUAAUGUUCUACCUCAAGGUUGAACCUAGGUACGUCCCCCACUGCCAGCAUCUGGGAGCACGGCUUAUCCGAGAAGGAGAAAUAAACAUCUUAGUUACA
Molecule: long non-coding RNA, 852 nt
Organism: Manis pentadactyla (Chinese pangolin)
Lineage: Eukaryota; Metazoa; Chordata; Mammalia; Pholidota; Manidae
Exons: 2
Source: RefSeq, a predicted model, not a curated record